Molecule: ribosomal RNA, 303 nt
Filed under: uncultured bacterium
Lineage: Bacteria
Description: partial 16S ribosomal RNA
Rfam family: Bacterial small subunit ribosomal RNA
Source: RNAcentral
AGCAGUCGCCGCGGUAAUACGUAGGGUGCGAGCGUUGUCCGGAAUUACUGGGCGUAAAGAGCUCGUAGGUGGUCUGUCGCGUCAUUUGUGAAAGCCCGGGGCUUAACUCCGGGUUGGCAGGUGAUACGGGCAUGACUGGAGUACCGUAGGGGAGACUGGAAUUCCUGGUGUAGCGGUGAAAUGCGCAGAUAUCAGGAGGAACACCGGUGGCGAAGGCGGGUCUCUGGGCAGUAACUGACGCUGAGGAGCGAAAGCAUGGGUAGCGAACAGGAUUAGAUACCCCUGUAGUCCCUGUCUCUUAUA